This 371-nucleotide ribosomal RNA is filed under the name uncultured bacterium. RNAcentral's name for it is "bacterial SSU rRNA". It matches the Rfam family "Bacterial small subunit ribosomal RNA", at positions 9 to 371 of the family's 1533-position model. The record is from RNAcentral.
GAGUUUGAUCGUGGCUCAGGAUGAACGCUGGCGGCGUGCUUAACACAUGCAAGUCGAACGAAGCGCUUAAACAGAUUUCUUCGGAUUGAAGUUUUGCGACUGAGUGGCGGACGGGUGAGUAACGCGUGGGUAACCUGCCUCAUACAGGGGGAUAACAGUUAGAAAUGACUGCUAAUACCGCAUAAGCGCACGGUGCUGCAUGGCACAGUGUGAAAACUCCGGUGGUAUGAGAUGGACCCCGCGUCUGAUUAGCUAGUUGGUGAGGUAACGGCCACCAAGGCGACGAUGCAUAGCCGGCCUGAGAGGGCGACGCCACAUUGGGACUGAGACACGGCCAAACUCUACGGGAGCAGCAGUAGGAAUUUUCGCAA